This 448-nucleotide ribosomal RNA is filed under the name uncultured Levilinea sp. Its description in RNAcentral is "bacterial SSU rRNA". It matches the Rfam family "Bacterial small subunit ribosomal RNA", at positions 923 to 1382 of the family's 1533-position model. Lineage: Bacteria; Bacillati; Chloroflexota; Anaerolineae; Anaerolineales; Anaerolineaceae. The record is from RNAcentral.
GCACAAGCAGCGGAGCGUGUGGUUUAAUUCGAUGCUACACGAAGAACCUUACCAGGGUUUGACAUACAAGUAGUAGGGAAAGGAAACUGGACCGACCCUUCGGGGAGCUUGAACAGGUGCUGCAUGGCUGUCGUCAGCUCGUGUCGUGAGAUGUUCGGUUAAGUCCGCUAACGAGCGCAACCCUCGCUGUGUGUUACAAGUGUCACACGGAACUGCCGGUCAUAAACCGGAGGAAGGUGGGGAUGACGUCAAGUCAGCAUGGCCUUUAUAUCCUGGGCUACACACACGCUACAAUGGGAAGGGACAAUAGGUUGCGAAACCGCGAGGUGGAGCCAAUCCAGCAAAACUUCCCUCAGCUCAGAUUGCAGGCUGCAACUCGCCUGCAUGAAGUUGGAGUUGCUAGUAAACGCAGGUCAGCCAUACUGCGUUGAAUACGUUCCCGGGGCUU